Cyprinus carpio (common carp) is the source of this 780-nucleotide long non-coding RNA. RefSeq lists it as uncharacterized. The record is from RefSeq and is a predicted model, not a curated record. Lineage: Eukaryota; Metazoa; Chordata; Actinopteri; Cypriniformes; Cyprinidae. The transcript is spliced from 4 exons.
CUGCCCCCUACCGGUAGAAACGGAACACAGCCCAUUACCUGAACACACUUGUCUCUGCUGCUGAGAGUCAGAAGCGUUGAUCUGACCACGGGCUGUGAUCUCAGUGACCUUUCCAGGGGUCAGCUGGCGGCUAUGGUGACAGAGGGGUCAGUCUGCGGCCUCGGUUCAUCUCUCGGUCAACAUCAGAUAACAAGUUGAUCCAGCAUUCUUUUGACUGACGUGAUGCAGAGACAGAGCUUGGCUCGAUCAGGACGUCGUCUCGGCCAGACCCCCGCCGUGCCACCCCAGCCCGCCCACAGCCGAUCAAUAUGACUGGAGUUGGAGAAACAGGUAUUUUCUUCCUCGUCGAAGAACCACAGAAUCCGGCGAGACAACUGGAUUGCAAUGGACUAACAGAGUCAACUUUUCUGAAAACAUCUGCAGAAGUCACUUAUUUAGUGAUAAGGAGUAAAAGUGAACAAUUUUUCACCCGUUUGGAUAAGGAUUGUGUUUUUUUAUAUUAAUUUGUUGUUGUCAAGUAUGCUAUAACGUUCUGUAAAUUCCCCCGAGUGUGGAGCAUAUGUGAGUAUGUCAGAUGUGGACUAAUGAAUAUUAAUACACGUGUGUCUAACUUUUCUAUUCUGUUUAUAUCAUGCUUAGCCUUUGUGGAAAAACAUUUAUCAAUGGUUAUUAUUUUCAUUGACUGGUCUUUUUUAUUUGAAAUUGUGAUUUUUAAAAUUAAUAGGCUAUAUGGAUUUAAAACUGUAAAAAGCGCACGUUCAUAUUAAAAAAUAUAUAUAA